Molecule: transfer RNA, 74 nt
Filed under: Cladophialophora carrionii CBS 160.54
Lineage: Eukaryota; Fungi; Ascomycota; Eurotiomycetes; Chaetothyriales; Herpotrichiellaceae
Description: tRNA-Lys (TTT) (tRNA-Lys-TTT-1-1)
Rfam family: tRNA
About the family: Transfer RNA (tRNA) molecules are approximately 80 nucleotides in length. Their secondary structure includes four short double-helical elements and three loops (D, anti-codon, and T loops).
Source: RNAcentral
GCCCUGGUGGCACAAUUGGUCAGCGCGUGAGACUUUUAAUCUCAAGGUUGAGAGUUCGAGCCUCUCCCAGGGCG